This is a long non-coding RNA of Pygocentrus nattereri (red-bellied piranha), 454 nucleotides long. RefSeq lists it as uncharacterized. Lineage: Eukaryota; Metazoa; Chordata; Actinopteri; Characiformes; Serrasalmidae. The record is from RefSeq and is a predicted model, not a curated record. The transcript has 5 exons.
UCCUCUGGUGGUCAUCAGGAAGCUGUCCACAAACAGACAGUGAAGCCAAAACACAUUCAGCCACCAUGAGAGCUCUGCUGCUUCUUGGUAUCUUGUGUGCUGCUCUGGUGCUGCCAGCACUUGCAGAUAAGAAGCCGAAAACUCCAACUCCUCCACUUCUCUUUGACCAUUUCCACGCUUUAACUAAUAAGAAUGAAGGCAUCAAAAAAUCCAUUUUUGAAGGCAUGACCCCUGAAGAGAAAGAAGAGUGGAAGAAGGAUUUCAUGCGACAUCAAAGUGAGACAGAAAACCCAUGCUAAAGGCCUGGGUUGCCAUAUGCACCAGUGAAGCAAUCGGCCUGACAGAGAAAUCAAGUGUUCAACUACUCCAAAUACUGUAAUAAUUAACUUUUAACAUGACUGAGAUGUGAAAAUAAAAACUAUUGAUUGUCAUAUUGAUUAUGGACAUAAAUGCA